AAGAAAGCAAUUAAUAGUUUGCGACCUCUAAUUUACUGCGUUUAAUAACAGGUUUCCGUUUCCAAUUUAGAGGUCAACUUACUUAAUUUUGAAAACUACGUGACGUAAAUAUUUGUGAAGUUCAAAAAAGUUUUUUUUUUCUUCUUUUACAUCAAAUGGAUAACUAAUAAUUCAAGGUCAAACCGAAAGUAUGGGGAAGCGAGUAUACAAGAAUGGAAAUUAGUUUAGAACUAGUCUCAGGUGAGGAACAUGAGGUCAAUGCCUCAUUAUCUAACAAACCCUCUAAGGGUUCAUAUAUAAAAGGAACUUUUGGUUUGGGUACAAGUUCAAUGAAAUUCGCCUUGAUAUAAGUUGACACUCAAAAAAUGAAGUUCUUAGAAAUACUUGUAGUAGCACUAAGCUUUUUGCUCCUGGUGAGUGCACAAGAAGUAGAAGUGAAUGGUGCACCAUCCAGACCACCUCUCAUUAGUAGGUGCUGCCUGUAUGGUUGGUACGACUGCUGUGGUUAUCUAUUUGGAUACAGAUAUGGGGUACUUCCUCCUCAAUACCCCCAAUAUCCUCCAGUUCCAAUGGGGAACCCAUUAAUAACUAAUUACAUCUCAUAAAAAAGAGCAACUGAGUGAAACGUCUUAAAUUUAUGUGCUUUUCGUUGUAGUCAAGUGCCAGAGCUUUUAUUGUAAUGCACUCAUUACUAGUGUAAACAUAUCCAUUAUUUAUUGCAUUGUUCCUCAUAUGCUUGUGAUGUAAAAUUCAAACGCAUCAAAUGUAAGUUGUUCAAAAUAAAAAGUAGCUUUUGUUUA
Long non-coding RNA from Parasteatoda tepidariorum (common house spider), 800 nucleotides. RefSeq lists it as uncharacterized. Lineage: Eukaryota; Metazoa; Arthropoda; Arachnida; Araneae; Theridiidae. The record is from RefSeq and is a predicted model, not a curated record.